GAAAUGCGAUAAGUAAUGUGAAUUGCAGAAUUCAGUGAAUCAUCGAAUCUUUGAACGCAUCUUGCGCUCCUUGGUAUUCCGAGGAGCAUGCCUGUUUGAGUGUCAUUUAAAACUCUCAUACCACAUCUUUUUGAUGUGGCCUUUGGACGUGGGGGCUUUUGCAGGCUUUUUUCUCAAGAGUCUGCUCCCCUGAAAUGCAUCAGUGGUAUCUGGAGCGGAAACCGCUAGGUGUGAUAACAUCAUCUAUGCCUUUGGUAUGCCGUGCAUGUGCUGCUUCCAACGCACAAUUUAUUGACAAACUUGACCUCAAAUCAGGUAGGACUACCCGCUGAACUUAA
This 338-nucleotide unclassified non-coding RNA is filed under the name uncultured Basidiomycota. RNAcentral describes it as "sequence contains ITS1". The stretch from base 1 to 105 matches the Rfam family "5.8S ribosomal RNA", at positions 50 to 154 of the family's 154-position model. The record is from RNAcentral. Lineage: Eukaryota; Fungi; Basidiomycota.